Molecule: ribosomal RNA, 464 nt
Filed under: uncultured bacterium
Lineage: Bacteria
Description: partial 16S ribosomal RNA
Rfam family: Bacterial small subunit ribosomal RNA
Source: RNAcentral
GAUGAACGCUGGCGGCGUGCUUAACACAUGCAAGUCGAACGGAAAGGCUCCUGCUUGCAGGGGUACUCGAGUGGCGAACGGGUGAGUAACACGUGGGUGAUCUGCCCUGCACUUCGGGAUAAGCCUGGGAAGCUGGGUCUAAUACCGGAUAGGACGAUGGUUUGGAUGCCAUUGUGGAAAGUUUUUCGGUGUGGGAUGAGCUCGCGGCCUAUCAGCUUGUUGGUGGGGUAAUGGCCUACCAAGGCGUCGACGGGUAGCCGGCCUGAGAGGGUGUACGGCCACAUUGGGACUGAGAUACGGCCCAGACUGCUACGGGAGGCAGCAGUGGGGAAUAUUGCACAAUGGGCGCAAGCCUGAUGCAGCGACGCCGCGUGGGGGAUGACGGCCUUCGGGUUGUAAACUCCUUUCGCUAGGGACGAAGCGAAAGUGACGGUACCUGGAGAAGAAGCACUGGCUAACUACGU